GACGUAGGGGGCAAGCGUUGUCCGGAAUCAUUGGGCGUAAAGAGCGUGUAGGCGGCCUGAUCAGUCUGCUGUGAAAGUCCAGGGCUUAACCCUGGAAUGCCGGUGGAUACUGUCAGGCUUGAGUCCGGAAGAGGCGAGUGGAACUCCUGGUGUAGCGGUGGAAUGCGCAGAUAUCAGGAAGAACACCAACGGCGAAGGCAGCUCGCUGGGACGGUACUGACGCUGAGACGCGAAAGCGUGGGGAGCAAACAGG
RNAcentral lists this ribosomal RNA (253 nucleotides) under uncultured Conexibacter sp. RNAcentral's name for it is "partial 16S ribosomal RNA". It matches the Rfam family "Bacterial small subunit ribosomal RNA", at positions 524 to 776 of the family's 1533-position model. The record is from RNAcentral. Lineage: Bacteria; Bacillati; Actinomycetota; Thermoleophilia; Solirubrobacterales; Conexibacteraceae.